AGAACGAACGCUGGCGGCGUGCCUAAUACAUGCAAGUCGAACGAACACUUCGGUGUUAGUGGCGCACGGGUGCGUAACGCGUGGGAAUCUGCCCUUGGGUUCGGAAUAACAGUUGGAAACGACUGCUAAUACCGGAUGAUAUCGAAAGAUCAAAGAUUUAUCGCCCAGGGAUGAGCCCGCGUAGGAUUAGCUAGUUGGUGAGGUAAAGGCUCACCAAGGCGACGAUCCUUAGCUGGUCUGAGAGGAUGAUCAGCCACACUGGGACUGAGACACGGCCCAGACUCCUACGGGAGGCAGCAGUAGGGAAUAUUGGACAAUGGGCGCAAGCCUGAUCCAGCAAUGCCGCGUGAGUGAUGAAGGCCUUAGGGUUGUAAAGCUCUUUACCCGAGAUGAUAAUGACAGUAUCGGAGAAUAAGCCCGGCUAACUCCGUGCCAAGCAGCCGC
This 444-nucleotide ribosomal RNA is filed under the name uncultured soil bacterium. RNAcentral describes it as "bacterial SSU rRNA". It matches the Rfam family "Bacterial small subunit ribosomal RNA", at positions 26 to 518 of the family's 1533-position model. The record is from RNAcentral.